CCAUAAAAAUAUGAAAAAGAAGUGUUUAUUUGAAAUUAUAUUAUUCUAUUUGCUGCUCUGUUACCUGAAUACUGUUAUUUAAUCAAAACAAUGGGACCAGUUAAAAGUGGCAAUUGGUAGUUAACAGCAGGACUUAACAAAUAUACAUGUGACAAAAUAUAACAAUAAUUUUAUAAUGUUUCUGUCCUCUGAUAGAGAAACGUAAACUUCUUAUUGGGUAUUUAAGUUGUGCAGACGAUGUUAUUGCGUAUGCAUAAGAUACAUACGUGUAAUAUUUUUAAAAAAGAUGAUUACAAUAGGACAAAUUAAGCAGAUGAUCUAUGUUUAAUAAAACUAACAACAUGUUUUUUUUUUUUUUUCCUGUCCCAUAAUUCUGUAGGUUAUUUUUACUCUUUGUUUCCUGUUCCAAUAAUACUUCACUGAACUGCCUGCAGCCUUUAGGACAUUCUUCUCUUCUUCGAUGUAGUGGUGAAGACCGGUUAAAGAAAAAUCACUUUGACGUGCAGCUCUGUUCUUCUCAAGCCCACAUCACACUGUCCUUUGUGUCAGCUCAGUGUGAAGACAUCCAACUAAAUAUCCGCUCGAUAAAACCGAGCCUGGAAUCCUUGGGAUUUUACUGAAUACCAAUCACAGGUUCCUGGACAGGUGGGAAUUCCUUUCCAGCUCUCCAAAAGCGUCCACCUACUUUACAGCUAGCUUGUUUGCGUUGACCUGCUGGUUCUCAUCAGGUUUUUCACAUCUAUCAUAUCAUAUCAUAUCAUAUCAUAUCAUAUCAUAUCAUCUCAUCUCAUCUCAUCUCAUCUCCACGUCAAAAAUUUCUACACAGCCAAAAAAAUCUCAUUGUUUCUGCAAAUUCUGAGAAACUGAAAAGUGGGCAAAACCCUGAUGGAUGAAGGCUUCACUAUCAUAGUGAAUAAACCACGCCCCUGUGAACAGGAGACAUGGUGUACGGGCUGCGAGGGACAUUUAGCAGGAUAUCAUCUGGUUGCUUCCUGGGUAAAACUUUCACGAUAACCAGAAUCUAAUGUGCAGCAAUUUUCACAACCGUGUCCACGUCCGGUCCCACCUUUACUCUUGAUAACCUCCUAUGAAUUCCUCCCCCCAUCCGUCUGCACUCGACUGGGCUGAUGUGGAACCUGACCGCUCUGUCUUCAUUCACAACCAACCUGUGAGUCCUCCUUCCCUCCACUCAAAGUCACUACGCUUUGUAGUGUUAGGUCAUGUUGCUGAUGGCAUUUUUCACAUCUGGGUACCAGGAAUAAGUAACCGAUAAACAGAACAUGAAUACUC
Long non-coding RNA from Neofelis nebulosa (Clouded leopard), 1290 nucleotides. RefSeq lists it as uncharacterized. The record is from RefSeq and is a predicted model, not a curated record. The transcript has 2 exons. NCBI's taxonomy places the organism in Eukaryota, Metazoa, Chordata, Mammalia, Carnivora, Felidae.